RNAcentral lists this ribosomal RNA (253 nucleotides) under uncultured bacterium. Its description in RNAcentral is "partial 16S ribosomal RNA". It matches the Rfam family "Bacterial small subunit ribosomal RNA", at positions 524 to 776 of the family's 1533-position model. RNAcentral also lists the same sequence under 1 other name. The record is from RNAcentral.
UACGAAGGGUGCAAGCGUUGCUCGGAAUUAUUGGGCGUAAAGGGUUGGUAGGUGGUCUUGUUUGUCUAAGGUGAAAUCCCAUGGCUUAACUGUGGAAGUGCCUUAGAAACGGCAAGACUAGAGUCCUAGAGGGGUUUGUGGAAUUCCCGGUGUAGCGGUGAAAUGCGUAGAGAUCGGGAGGAACACCAGCGGCGAAGGCGGCAAACUGGAUAGGCACUGACACUCAACAACGAAAGCGUGGGGAGCAAACAGG